Onthophagus taurus is the source of this 800-nucleotide long non-coding RNA. RefSeq lists it as uncharacterized. The record is from RefSeq and is a predicted model, not a curated record. NCBI's taxonomy places the organism in Eukaryota, Metazoa, Arthropoda, Insecta, Coleoptera, Scarabaeidae.
CAUUAGUAUUAAUAGCAAUUUAGAUUUUUUAAAUGUGAUUUACAUGAUUUAUUAUAAUUCACAUCAUAAUAUUGUUUCAAUUAAGAGCCCUAGUUUGGUAAUUAUGAGGCAAUGGUUUUUGAUAUAAGAUGGUUCGUUGAAGAGGAAGAAGUAUUCUUAUUGUGAAGUGAAGCUAUUAAAAUAAGUAAAGAGUGUAUAUUAACUUGUACUUCUUAAACAACUCAUGCACAAAGUAUUACAAGUUAUUGCUAUAAAUAUUAUGAUUAACAUUUAGAUAAAAAGUGCAUAAAAUGUUACAUAUUCAUGAGGAUAUUCUGGAUUAAUAAUGAUUUCUCCAUUAACUUUAUAAUUUUUAUAUUUCUGUUUAUAAAUAAUGUUAAAAUCCAACUCCAAUAACAUUUUAUUGGCAUGAAAAUUAUUGCAUUGAGAAAUGAUUAAUUUAUGGUUCAACUUUUCAGCUAAAAUUCUAAACAAUCAAUUGAUGCUCUUAUUAAAUUUGUUGCAAAUCGUUGUUUUGGAUAAUUUUUAGCCAGAAUACAAACACUUAUCCUAAAAUAUGCUUCCAAAUUUGGGUAGGUGAACUGGUUUCAUUUCAACAUCAAAUCCUUUUUUAAUGAUAUGGUUACCACAGAUUCCCACAAUUUCUGGUCCAUUCAACAUAAUUAUCAAAACAUCUUGUUCCAUGUAGUGUUUAUCAAAAAAUAUUCCAAUGAUUCAGGACUACUCAUAACUUCUAAAUAUUUACUGACCGGUCUGUGUAAAAAUUCUUUUCCAAAAAAUAUAAGCAACGUUUAAUUUCA